CAUAAAAGGCUUUUUUCUGACAGACACUGUCUGUUACAACCUGGCCUGUUAAGGAGUAUGUAUGUCUCCUUUGUGGAGUAAUUUAUGCACCAGACAGAUGCUCCAAAUCAUGGCAAUGAUUUGACUGCACCAUUGCAGCUACAAAGAGAAAAAAAAGGAACUUUCACCAGAACUGUUGUUCCUCUUCCAUUGGCCAUCUCCAAGGUUGUUUUUUUUUUUUAAGAAUUUGACUACUAUCCAACCAAUUUCAUAACCACAGAUCAAAACUUCACUAUUCAGCAGCUUUAAAUCAAGAACCAAUGAGACCAGACCCUGGAUAGCUGGUUUGCACAAAUACAGAACCAGUCAAAAACCAUUAACAGGUUGAUCCAUGGAUCUCCUGACAUCAGUGAUUUCCGGAAUUUUCUAAGAAAGGUUUGUGAUUAAAGAGGAUUCUCCAGACAGGAAACCAGAAGAGGAAAAAUGUGUCUAAUUCUACAAGAUGGAUAGAGAAUGGGUUCAGGGACUCGCUGCAGAGACCUACUAAGCCAUCCAUGUGAAUCCAUCUUCCAGUCAGGCAGAUGCCAGGGAGAAGAGAUGAGAACAUCCUGGACAUGUUUUCAAAUAACAUCACAGAACAAAACUGGGUAUUUUUUAUAUACUAUUAGAGGAUCAUUUUGCCUUCACAACCCCGUGCUGUCAGUGAUAAUAUGAAGAAUAUUCCUUAACCUGUUGGAGAAAAAAAUCAAAGACUUGUUUUUUUUCCAGUCUUCACACAUUGUUUGUUCUAAAUGUCAAAUUCAGAGUGAAGUUAAACAAAUCUGUGCCACUUGAGAAAGCAGACAUACUGUUCCUGUAUGGUGUAAUAAAACCAAAAAUAAAGCAACCACUCAUUUGCCAGAAUGUCUCGUUUUAAGAUGCAC
This 902-nucleotide long non-coding RNA is filed under the name Oryzias sinensis (Chinese medaka). RNAcentral describes it as "lncRNA (ENSOSIG00000008206.1)". The record is from RNAcentral. Lineage: Eukaryota; Metazoa; Chordata; Actinopteri; Beloniformes; Adrianichthyidae.